UAUCAGACAAUAAAAUUGAUAGUAUUUUUUUUUUUUUUUAAAUUCAGAUACUGAUAUACAGAUUAAAAGUUAGGCCUGCAGUAUAUCAUUGUUAACCUUCUGAUAAAAAAAAAAUCAACAGCAAAAGAAGAUGUUAAAAAUAAAGUUUAUGGUUGUGAAUAAAAUUGAUUUCAAUAAUCUUUUUUAAUUAUUAUUUUUAAAACAACUUUAUGUUGUUGUGUUUCACGCCAUAUUAUCAGACCACCUUAAGUGGGUCCGCCUUAAAUUUUGAGUUUGUGUGAUCGCUGUUGAUUGGUAGCUAAACUGCUGGUAAACUGUGUACAGAAAAAAAAAAUUCUGGUAGCAACAUUGUGCAGUAUGAGCGAACCAUUUCACCAAAAAAAGGGGAAGCAAGGCAAGACGUGGCUGCAGCGGUCUGUGACUUCUGAUCAAAUUCGAAUCUCCUCCUAAAGAAACAAAGAGCGACAUUAUAUUGCGGGAUGAUGUCACCUGAAAAUGACCAAUAGCGCGGCGCGCUGCUGAGCUGUGUGCCAACCGCUCCUUUUUUCAUGCAGGAGACUCAAGUUGGCUUCGCUACCGGACACAGUUUUGAACUCGUAUAUUAGCGCCAUUUAUUGCUGCUUGGACCACAGCAUCUUCGGAAUUUGUAGACAUCCUGGCAGCUUACAAUUAGUUCGAGGUGAGGUGAGUACAUGCAACUUCAAGUUAUCUCUGUUAUAAAAAUCCACCAGCCCAGCGUUUAUAGAUAAUUUUAGCAGUUCGUUUUUUAUGAGUGAGGUUGUGAAUUUAGUUAGCAUUUGUGAGUUGAGUUAGCAUUACUGUCAGGAGGGAAGCAUUGCUCUGGAUUAGUUUCUGUGUUUGGCGUGCUUAAUUCGCUAGGGAGGAAUUACCAAAGUACAUGGAGUUAUGUUAACCUGUAAUUUCUGUGGUAAGGUAGUUCAGUCAUCAAGGGGCUACGUGCUUCAUUGUAAACUGCAUCGGAAUGAGCCACGUUGUUUCUUUCGGUGUAUUGAAGCAGGCUGCAAGCAGACAUACACCAGACACUGAAUUUGAGCAGAAACCAUAAGGAUACUCAAAGGACCCGUGACUCUCAGGAAAUGGUGAGAUUUCAGCAUCAAAUGAGAGGGACAGAUGAAACAGUUUCAAGACAAUGGCAGGAAAAACAUGCUGAAGAUUGAAACAAACCUUGGCUGGAAAUAUUUGAAGGAAGGUAUCUAGCCAGUCCACAUUGAAAGCUUCGUUGCACCCCAUGAGUCUUCUGGCAGAAAUGAUGGCGCCUGUAUUCUUUGGUUUCCCUAAACAUCACACCCUGCCUGUUUAUACGAGGCUCUUCAAUUAAGUCUGCACCCAAAGAUUCAAUAAGAGAUGGAGGAUCACUGACAGGAGCGUGGAAGACUCCAGAAUCCACUCUGGCUGGAAUCCGGUGGAUACAGCAGUGUUACAGAACAGUUCUCCACAGUCGCUGUCCACAUGGGUCAGUGGGACCAAGCAGCACUCUGCUAAUGUGUGGACUCUGACCAGCAACAUCCAGCAAGACCCAGGCAGCGUUUUCUAUCUCCCAGCUGGAGUUUUUUUGUUUGUCUGUGACUGGAGAGUCAGAUUUUUGUUGAGGCUGGAGGAACAGCCUCACACUUGCAGAGGUUAAUACACGCUACUGAUCCCUGAUGGGAGAAUCAUCACCUCUGCCAACAAAGAAGCCUGGUGGAUAUUUGUUUGCAGUCUGAUGAUGGGACAUCAUGCUCUGCAUCUUCAAAGUUUGUCUCUUGAUUAUUAUUGAUACACAGUAAUGUGAAGUAUGCUUAUAUCUAGUAUAACUGGACCAACCUGGUGCUCUUCAUUUAUGGAGGCUGUUGAGUCUGAAUGUUGGAUGUUGUGUAUCUCGUGUUCUCUGGGCUUUGUUGUCCUCAGUCUUUUUGCAGGAUCAGAAAACAAAACCAGGAGGCCUGUAAAUGUUUCUUCUCCAAUUGGAUGAUGAUAAGACUGUGACACGGGAUGCCACCUUUAGUCUUGUGAUGAAGCAAAGCUCAGGAAGAAGUGUGAUUAAAUUGUACCCACAUGUGUGCUGCUGAGAAGGAUGUACAGGGGCACCUGCAGCCAAAUCCAAGCCUCCUCAGAUGGUGAUGGUGUGGAGAGACGGUGGUGUUUCCUCAGAAGAACUAGCAGAGUCACCAAGGACACGAGUCCAUCUCACCACCUUGACUUGCUGACUGAUGCUCGUCUGCACUGCACAGAGGAAAUCAACUGACCGAGGUAAAUCUCCAGUUUCUGAGUGAGGGAGAGAGGAGUCAUCAUCCAGGUAAAGUGACGUGGAUCAGUGGAUACACUUGUCUCUCCUUUAAAGGAGACACUCUUAGAGAGAGAUGAUCCGAGUCAUCAUAAAAUAUGGACAGGAUAUCAGUCUUGGACUGUCUGACCUGCAGCACUGAAUGAUCACCACACAUGAGCAUGUUCCUGCAACAUUCAGCAGCUUUGCUUUUGCUGGAGAGGAAACUACACCAGUGUACUGGGAUGUUUCACCAACACGUGCCAGAUGCUGUUCCUUCAUGGUGACAUCACCAGAGACGGCCCCGCCCACCUCAUGACCUCGCCAUUGAUCAUGAUGAUUAUAAUAAUGACAGCGAGCGGAACUAAGACUGUAAAAAUCCACGACCAGAAUGUUUAGAUGCUUUCUAAUUAUUAAUGAAUACUGAGAGCCUCUUUCUGUCUUUUGUCUGUUUUGGGUUUUUUUACCUCAUUUGUUACUAACAAAGUUCACCAAACUCACACAGUUUACAUUCUGUAUGUUUCCAUCUUUACCAGCCACACUCUUAACUGCAAUUAAGCAAAUAAUCCGUAGAAAUCGUCGUUUUUCUCUUUUGUAAUUGAUGAUAAUUCAGUGAAUAUACUGCGCUGCUUCCUUUUAUUGCGUCACACAUUGCUUUAAGUUUUUCAGUGUCCAGUUAUUUUUUUACUGCUGUUUGAAUUCUCUGCAUGUUUGACCCUGUAGACUGUUUAAUGGACUGCUUGUCUUGUAACCGCUGCCUGUUUUUGACUAAAGAUUUGGAUUUCUGACUGUAA
Molecule: long non-coding RNA, 3057 nt
Organism: Oreochromis niloticus (Nile tilapia)
Lineage: Eukaryota; Metazoa; Chordata; Actinopteri; Cichliformes; Cichlidae
Exons: 11
Source: RefSeq, a predicted model, not a curated record